This 859-nucleotide ribosomal RNA is filed under the name Stutzerimonas stutzeri. RNAcentral's name for it is "bacterial SSU rRNA". It matches the Rfam family "Bacterial small subunit ribosomal RNA", at positions 8 to 914 of the family's 1533-position model. The record is from RNAcentral. Lineage: Bacteria; Pseudomonadati; Pseudomonadota; Gammaproteobacteria; Pseudomonadales; Pseudomonadaceae.
AGAGUUUGAUCCUGGCUCAGAUUGAACGCUGGCGGCAGGCCUAACACAUGCAAGUCGAGCGGAUGAAGAGAGCUUGCUCUCUGAUUCAGCGGCGGACGGGUGAGUAAUGCCUAGGAAUCUGCCUGAUAGUGGGGGACAACGUUUCGAAAGGAACGCUAAUACCGCAUACGUCCUACGGGAGAAAGCAGGGGACUUCGGGCCUUGCGCUAUCAGAUGAGUCUAGGUCGGAUUAGCUAGUUGGUGAGGUCACACUGGAACUGAGACACGGUCCAGACUCUACGGGAGGCAGCAGUGGGGAAUAUUGGACAAUGGGCGAAAGCCUGAUCCAGCCAUGCCGCGUGUGUGAAGAAGGUCUUCGGAUUGUAAAGCACUUUAAGUUGGGAGGAAGGGCAUUAACCUAAUACGUUAGUGUUUUGACGUUACCGACAGAAUAAGCACCGGCUAACUUCGUGCCAGCAGCCGCGGUAAUACGAAGGGUGCAAGCGUUAAUCGGAAUUACUGGGCGUAAAGCGCGCGUAGGUGGUUUGUUAAGUUGAAUGUGAAAGCCCCGGGCUCAACCUGGGAACUGCAUCCAAAACUGGCAAGCUAGAGUAUGGCAGAGGGUGGUGGAAUUUCCUGUGUAGCGGUGAAAUGCGUAGAUAUAGGAAGGAACACCAGUGGCGAAGGCGACCACCUGGGCUAAUACUGACACUGAGGUGCGAAAGCGUGGGGAGCAAACAGGAUUAGAUACCCUGGUAGUCCACGCCGUAAACGAUGUCGACUAGCCGUUGGGAUCCUUGAGAUCUUAGUGGCGCACGUAACGCAUUAAGUCGACCGCCUGGGGAGUACGGCCGCAAGGUUAAAACUCAAAUGAAUUGAC